ACAAGGUUUCCGUAGGCGGAACACUGCAUCCUUUCGGGUACAUCUGCCGAAACUUUAGUGAAUUGAUUAGGCGACUCAAAACAAGCAUAAUCCUCGUGGAUCCACUCCUCGAGCACUAGCCUUCCCUUUGUGGAUGGCGACAUUACCAGUAUGCGGGAACAUUCGACGCAGUUGGAUAACCCGCAGUCACACUCGUGGCUCACAGGCUAAAUGGUAAUGGGCGUAGGUGCUCGGCCGCCUACGCUUCAGAUAUAGUCGGUCCCCAGAUAUCUCUGGCAGACUUGUGGAUUUGCGGAGCCCUUGCGAAGCGAAUCCACGGGCGAGCAAACGUUCCGUAGGUGAACCUGCGGAAGGAUCAUUA
RNAcentral lists this ribosomal RNA (361 nucleotides) under Usnea sp. Hur TW090015. RNAcentral describes it as "partial 18S ribosomal RNA". The stretch from base 55 to 278 matches the Rfam family "Group I catalytic intron". Rfam says of the family: Group I catalytic introns are large self-splicing ribozymes. The record is from RNAcentral. Lineage: Eukaryota; Fungi; Ascomycota; Lecanoromycetes; Lecanorales; Parmeliaceae.